CAAGGAAUCUUCCGCAAUGGGCGAAAGCCUGACGGAGCAACGCCGCGUGGGGGAUGAAGCUUUUCGGAGUGUAAACCUCUUUUCUCGGGGACGAAGAUCUGACGGUACCCGAGGAAUAAGGACCGGCUAACUACGUGCCAGCAGCCGCGGUAAUACGUAGGGUCCGAGCGUUGUCCGGAGUUACUGGGCGUAAAGCGCGCGCAGGCGGCGUCGCAAGUCUGGCGUGAAAGCCCCCGGCUCAACCGGGGAGGGUCGUCGGAUACUGCGGUGCUUGAGGUAGGCAGGGGUCGGUGGAAUGCCCGGUGUAGUGGUGAAAUGCGUAGAGAUCGGGCGGAACACCCGUGGCGAAGGCGGCCGACUGGGCCUUACCUGACGCUGAGGCGCGAAGGCGUGGGGAGCG
RNAcentral lists this ribosomal RNA (400 nucleotides) under uncultured bacterium. RNAcentral describes it as "bacterial SSU rRNA". It matches the Rfam family "Bacterial small subunit ribosomal RNA", at positions 355 to 770 of the family's 1533-position model. The record is from RNAcentral.